RNAcentral lists this ribosomal RNA (468 nucleotides) under uncultured bacterium. Its description in RNAcentral is "partial 16S ribosomal RNA". It matches the Rfam family "Bacterial small subunit ribosomal RNA", at positions 28 to 507 of the family's 1533-position model. The record is from RNAcentral.
GACGAACGCUGGCGGCGUGCUUAACACAUGCAAGUCGAACGGAAAGGCCCUGCUUUUGUGGGGUGCUCGAGUGGCGAACGGGUGAGUAACACGUGAGUAACCUGCCCUUGACUUUGGGAUAACUUCAGGAAACUGGGGCUAAUACCGGAUAGGAGCUCCUGCUGCAUGGUGGGGGUUGGAAAGUUUCGGCGGUUGGGGAUGGACUCGCGGCUUAUCAGCUUGUUGGUGGGGUAGUGGCUUACCAAGGCUUUGACGGGUAGCCGGCCUGAGAGGGUGACCGGACACAUUGGGACUGAGAUACGGCCCAGACUCCUACGGGAGGCAGCAGUGGGGAAUAGUGCACAAUGGGCGGAAGCCUGAUGCAGAAACGCCGCGUGCGGGAUGACGGCCUUCGGGUUGUAAACCGCUUUCGCCUGUGACGAAGCGUGAGUGACGGUAAUGGGUAAAGAAGCACCGGCUAACUACGUG